Molecule: long non-coding RNA, 780 nt
Filed under: Heterocephalus glaber (naked mole-rat)
Lineage: Eukaryota; Metazoa; Chordata; Mammalia; Rodentia; Bathyergidae
Description: lncRNA (ENSHGLG00100042038.1)
Source: RNAcentral
AGAGCACACUCUUAUGUGUUCUCUUGGCCACAGAGACUCGAAACUCUGAAGCAUUUCUCAGUUCACCUGUUCAGGACUGAAGACUUUUUGAAAUUAUCUAUCAGAUGCUGAAGACCAGCACUGAGGGGUCCUCCUCGGUCUCCUCUGGGGAGUCAGAGGAGGACGACCCUGGAUCUGACACACAAACCACAACCUGUGUGAAUUGGAAGCAGGACUUCCACUGGCUCAGGAAAAGAGUACUUGUGUGUCUGGGGAGGAGAGUGAUGGUCAGCAGCCCACCAGUGACCCCAACCAAGAAAAGUCUUCCCACCUCCAAGGAAACCCAACCUGAAUAAACCCUCAGUGAUUAGCACAACUCAGUGCACUAAGCACACUAAGCAGUGUGAUGGCCUCACUUCUAUAGUUCUACAGUUUUAUUGUUUUUAAUAAAAUAAAGAUUCUUGUUCUCCGUAUCUGCUUCCUCCAGCAUAUCUUCUCGAUGCAGGCUGAAAGGAGCCAUGCAGAGGACUGAAAUGUAUUCUCUGCAACUUGCAAGUAGCAUGGUGCUUCCUGAAGAGAAAGUGUGCUGCUUCUCUCCUUUCUCUCCUGCUGCCCAGGUUUUCUUCAAUCUCAUUGACUUUAUCCAUUUCAGGGAUUUCAUCCUGUUUUGUCACUAACUCACAUCCCCAGGUUUAGAAAGCAGCAGGACAAACAAGGUGGAGUGCUUUGGGGUGAUCUUCCAGGGCCUGAGCAAGCGGCAGUGAAGAUCCAGUCACUCAGGAAGAUGACUCCAGUUGACAG